GAUCUGUUAGUUUAGUUGGUAGAAUACCUGUCUGUGGAACAGGAGACAUCGGUUCGAAUCCGAUACAGGUCA
Molecule: transfer RNA, 72 nt
Rfam family: tRNA
About the family: Transfer RNA (tRNA) molecules are approximately 80 nucleotides in length. Their secondary structure includes four short double-helical elements and three loops (D, anti-codon, and T loops).
Source: Rfam